GUUUCUGUGGUGUAAUGGUUAACGCACGGCCCUAGUUAGGCGCGGGACGUGGGUUCGAAUCCCGCUUGAGAUG
Molecule: transfer RNA, 73 nt
Filed under: Nippostrongylus brasiliensis
Lineage: Eukaryota; Metazoa; Nematoda; Chromadorea; Rhabditida; Heligmosomidae
Rfam family: tRNA
About the family: Transfer RNA (tRNA) molecules are approximately 80 nucleotides in length. Their secondary structure includes four short double-helical elements and three loops (D, anti-codon, and T loops).
Source: Rfam by way of RNAcentral